RNAcentral lists this unclassified non-coding RNA (1587 nucleotides) under Hevea brasiliensis (rubber tree). Lineage: Eukaryota; Viridiplantae; Streptophyta; Magnoliopsida; Malpighiales; Euphorbiaceae. The record is from RNAcentral.
AGCAUUAGUUAAUAUUUUAUUCAUUUGGAAGAACCUCUUCAUACAUUGAUACCAGGAAGGGAUAAAGGUUCCAAACUUCACCCAUAAUUCAGGUUAAUUUUUCAAUGAUUUCCAUGAUGGCUUCAUCAGAACUUCCUCCAAGUUCAGUAGAUUUCCUAGCUUCUUCCCCAACCUUCUUGGCUCUGUUCCUGAGCUCUGCAUCAUCCAUCAGCUCCACAAUCUUUUUACCUAUCUCUUCGUGCUUCACCAACCUUUCAGUCCCCAUACCCCAUGUCUUCUCCAUUAUUCCCAGCCCUGCCUUCUGCAAAACUUCCGCAUUCACCCUUUGAUCUCCAUGCAGAGGCCAUGCCAAUACAGGUACUCCUCGUUCAGCUGAUUCAGUCACAGAGUUCCAUCCACAAUGACUUAUGAACCCUCCGGUAGCAGGAUGAGCUAGAAUCUUGUCCUGAUUCACCCACCCCUUCACCACCAUCCCCCUAUUCUCUAUUCUUUCCAAAAACGACUCUCCCAGCAGCUCUUCCAAACCUGCUUUAUCUUCUUUGUCAACUUUGGUUGUCUUAACUACCCAUAAGAAUCUACAGCCACUUUUGUCUAAUCCAUAUCCCAAUUCUCUUAUUUGAUCAUUAGACAUGGCUGUCCUGCUUCCGAAACUCACAUAAACUACAGAUUUUUCUGGUUGGUCGUCAAGCCAUAGCAGGUACGGGCUCUGGUCCUUCUGAAGCUCAUAAGCUUGUACUGGUCCGAUGGGUAUAACUGGAGGGAGAUUGCUUAAAACUUUACCAUUGUUUAGAGCAGCAAUCGUUUCAGCUUCGAACCAGUCAAAGGUGUUAACCAUAAUUCCUUUGGCUUCUGGGACAACUCCGACAUUUGCUAUUAUACUUGCUGCAAGAAGAUGAUUUGGGUUCAGGAAUGGUAGAGGAAUACUUGCUAUAGAAAAUGGAGUCAAGCCUGGAAUCUCUACUUGAACAAUGCUACUAUUGAAUUUAUCAGGAUUGGACACAAGAACUGGAAGGUGAAGCAUGAAAGAUAGAAAUCUAGCAGAGGUGGUGAUGACUAGAUAGUAAGGAAUACGAAGAUCAGCAGAAAUACGGGCAACACUUUUAGCUACCAGCAAAUCACAGAAGAUGGCAGAGAGAGGCGGAGAUGAGGAAGACAAUAAAGGAUGGAGAAGAUGGGCAGAGCGGCUAAUAGCGUUAUAUUGAAUCAAGAAAGGAUCUUGGGCAGAUGGAUUGGAGGAGUGAAGAGGAAUAACAUCGAAUUCAAGAUGCUUGACUCGAGGAUGUGUGGUUAGAAAGAAAGAGAUGUGGUCAGAUUCUGCAUUAGACACAGUGGAUUUGGCAGUAACAAGAGUGACAUUACAGUUUCGAGAUAAAAAGCAGCGAAGCUAGCCGGAGGAAAGGGGUGAGAUGGCCCAUUCCGGCAGAUGGAAUGAGCGCAAUAUGAGGGGAAGGUGUAUGGGAAGGCAACAUGAUCGAUGCUGUCGAUAUAAUCUCAGGUUGUAAACUUGUAAUCAGUAAGUUCAUAUGUGGAGUCUUGUCGAUUGAGCAUAUGAUAAAUUUCACCAAACAGAAAGCAAUUGAAAAUUAU